GGUCCAUAGCUCAGUGGCAGAGAAUCUGCUUUGCAUGCAGAAGGUCCCAUUUUCAAUCCCUGGAAUCUCCA
Molecule: transfer RNA, 71 nt
Filed under: Podarcis lilfordi (Lilford's wall lizard)
Lineage: Eukaryota; Metazoa; Chordata; Lepidosauria; Squamata; Lacertidae
Description: tRNA.Ala
Source: RNAcentral